AACGCGAAGAACCUUACCCAGACUUGACAUGCACUAGACGACGUCAGAGAUGACGUUUCCCUUCGGGGCUGGUGCACAGGUGCUGCAUGGCUGUCGUCAGCUCGUGCCGUGAGGUGUUGGGUUAAGUCCCGCAACGAGCGCAACCCUUAUCAUUAGUUGCCAGCAUAUAAGGUGGGAACUCUAAUGAGACUGCCUGGGUUAACCAGGAGGAAGGUGAGGAUGACGUCAAGUCCGCAUGGCCCUUAUGUCUGGGGCUACACACGUGCUACAAUGGUCGGUACAGAAGGCAGCAGAACCGCAAGGCGAAGCAAAUCCCAAAAAGCCGAUCUCAGUUCAGAUUGUAGUCUGCAACUCGACUACAUGAAGAUGGAAUUGCUAGUAAUGGCGUGUCAGCAACAACGCCGUGAAUACGUUCCCGGGCCUUGUACACACCGAGUAUA
RNAcentral lists this ribosomal RNA (440 nucleotides) under uncultured bacterium. RNAcentral's name for it is "bacterial SSU rRNA". It matches the Rfam family "Bacterial small subunit ribosomal RNA", at positions 958 to 1398 of the family's 1533-position model. The record is from RNAcentral.